AUAGCUUUUAGCCACUUACACUUUAACAAAUAUGCUGUUGUUGAAACAAUAAUUUAAGAGAAACUUUCAUGUUUUGGAUGUACUACAAAUAAUAGAGAUGAAUUCUGUAAUACGCUUUGCCAUAGAAGCAAUAUCAUCAAUCUUCAGAAUGAAGAGAGGCACUGUGCCUCUGUGCAGACGCUUUGCUUUCCUUCUGCUCCCACCACUCCAUGUCUCUCAGUAUUCCUUGUCCUCCCCUUUCCUGAUGAGAAACAAAAUCUGCUGAAGCAUAAAAUCAGUUUUUAAGUAUGAGAAUGAAUUUGGUACUGCUGUAGGUAAUUAUGUUCAGAAAGUUGCAUUCAGUGCAAUUUUAGAAAGAUCUAUCAAAGCAUAAUGAGGUUUCUGUUCCUAAAAAUACAUAGCUUUCCAGCCUUUCCUUCGAUGGAUGCUUUGGGAUCACUGGCCACAGACUGUUGCUCGCUGCUAAGAUACCCCUUUCUGCACUCUAAAAGAAGAAAGAAAAUUAAAAGUCGGAGAAUGCCUGUUUUCCGUGCUCUUUAUUAUAGAAUAUUUCCUUAAUGCUCUAUUUUCUCAUACAGCAGCUCUGCCUCUCACCCUGGCAAGGCCUCGGUGCUUACAGGGAAUUAGAUGGCAGUGCUCCCAGGCCUCUAAGCUUCCUUUAUGCCAGCCUUUACUUAUACUUGUGUCUGACUACUCACACCAAUGGGCUGUGCGAGCGAGGAUGAAUUCUUCACCUGCUUAUUGAGCCAGGGCUUUUGGACCACACCUGGAUGCUGACAGACUUGUGGCCUGGCGCUGCUAGGGCUGGCUAUAUCUGAAGAUAAAAAGCCCAUUGCUGCAGGCAACAGGCUGCCAGAUGUAAUACCACUGCUCUCAGCUCUCAGCUUUCCCUGGUAUUGGCACAUCUACUGAUCUGUCCGUGCCACAGAAAUCUGGUCUUGGGAAGGAGAUGAGGGGGAUGGCGAGACUCACUCCCUGACAUUCACACAGCUCUUUGAAACCCUCUGGUUGAACAUGUGACAGACAUAUGAAAUAUUUGUUCUUCAUUUGUAGUGUGAGAUCUACCCUUUUAUAUCUGCAACAAGAAAGUGUCUGUAUGAUAAUGCAUUUUAUAGUCAACAGAAAGGAAAAUUGCUAGCAAAUGUCUCUGUUUCGGAGAGCACGUCUGCCUGACAGGGUCACGUGUACCCUGUAAGUAAAAUGCACACAAGUACGGUUGAGAAUCGCUUUAUGAGCCCCAUCCAAAUCCUCUCCAAGGCAAUGUGAAACUUUCAGUGGGUACCCACAGCAGUGUAUUCAUGUGGCAGAAAUACCCCCCUGGUGAAGGCUGUACUUCUAGUCUGGUGCUGGACCAUCCUUCGUCAUCUCGCCAAGCCGGAUCAGAGACAUUCACAUCUCUCUGGGAUGAAAAGGGUUAUUUCUUGAAUAUUCUGGGAAAAUGUCAAACUCUAACCAGGGGAUGAUGGUCAUCCCAAAACUGUCAGGAAGGGAGUAGGUUUAUCUCUAUAGCCUUACGUUGCCAUCAAAAAUCUCCAAUCCUCCAAUUUAAAAUGUCCACGUUUAAAAUCGCGAGUAGCUCCAUUGCUUUCAGUAAGACUGUGCAUGUGGGUAGGUGGCCACAUGUUUGCAGCAUCGUAAAAAAAGAAGACAAGCACAAUCUCCUCUUUCCGCUCCCUUUUUAUCUCCCUUCAAAAGAGUGUGAAGUCUGACUGCUCCCAGCACAACGCCAAGAUGGGAUGGCUGGGAGCCUCCUCUGGGCUCUGUUAUCUCGUGACUGAUUUAAGCUAGAGAAAUCAAGACCAAGAUCUGGGGCAUGACUGUAAGUGUGUGAACAUGUGAGCAUGGAAGAGAUCACACGGGUUAUUUUUAGUUUCCAGGUAUCCCUUCAUUUUGAGGAUUUUGAUGAAAGAGUUGCACUAAGGGGCUGAACAAAACUAAGCAUUUUAGGAGCUGGCAAAGGAUUCCUGGUAACACUGCCCAAAGGUUGUAUCUGUCCAUGGCAGACGCACAUCCCCACCACAUUUCUUCACAAGGCAGCGGAGGGAGGCUGCUGAACUGGUUCCUGCUUGUUUUCAGCCUGCACUCGUGCGCCUGUGAGGCUGGAAUGCCCUUGUUUGAAUUAGCAAGUCACCAAGUAUGAAUCAAAGUGUAAUUGUCAUUGCUGCCUGUGGUACUAAACAGACCUGAGCUAUUAAUUCAAGACAAAUGGGAGAAAUGAGUAAACAGAAAGUUUACUGGUCUGUGGAAACUACAGGCCUGAGUGGAUGCUCUGUGCUGGUUAUAUUUCAACUUUAUUGCUUUGCUUUGAUCAUUUGAAAUUACCACUGUUUUCAGCUGGAAUUUAGGCAAACUAAAAACAUAUGAUUUCUGAAUUAAUUAUUCUGAUUUUAAAAGGGUAUUCUGUUACAAACUGUACUUCUUCCUCUGCGACUUGUCUUUGCAUUGUUUCUGCUGUACAAACAAUUUGCAUAAUGUAUAUCAUGGAAUAAUUAUAUUUUGCUACAAAAAUGUUACAGAUAAGCCAAAUUCAAAACAUUGUUAGGCAGGAACUCUUUGAUUUCAGUCCUAAAGCAUAUUUGAAGCUUUAGUAUGUCCCACAGGGACUAAUCAUAGGUAAAGCUAUGUGCGUGGUCAAGCCUUCACAGGAUCAUGACCAGCACUUGCAAAGACAUGUGAAAACAGAAAAUGAGAGGGGGAGAGACAACCACAGGACUCCAGAUGUGACCAAAAGGGUUCCUGUAGCAGCCAGGAGCUAGAGGCAUCUUGCAAACUCAUAGCAAUUAUAAUUAGAAAUACUGCGCAGGUCAUUAAUGUAAAUCUUCCUGGAAAACACUGGUGAAAACAGGAAAGGUGAAAAUAAUGCAAUCUGCAAUCUUUCUGCAAUCUGCAGAAAGCAGAAAAGGAGGCAAUCUGGCUCCUCCCUUGCCACUGAAGUUGAAUCCAGCCUGGCCAUGAGAAUUGCCAAGCCAUCAGCCUUUUUGCUGAGGUCACAUAUUAGUACUUUAAAGGCUAAUAGAUUUUGAAAAUAUUUGAAAUUUGGCAUAUUCUUAAUUCCUUAUUGUCCUCUGGCCAAGAAAAAACAAAUGAGAAGAUCUUGAGAUCUCUGCACUACUGUUUGUAUUUUAAUAGAAAAGCAGCGUGAAAUGUUACAGGGCUCUCCAAGCCCAUGCCCUAUCUUGCUUUUAGCUUUCCUGCUGCUUUAACACGCUGCCUUUUGAAACAGCCUGGCCAAAAUCUGGUGAAAAGACCAAGGCUUGUGUACAGACUGGAUCAUUUUGGGCCUUGGCAGCCACAGCAGCCAUAGCGGUGGAGCGAGUGUUUGCUCAAUUUCCCAUUUUAAUGAGCUCUCUGAGUUUCUAAGUCAGAGGGCUGAGGGGAUGUUUUAGAAACAUGUAAACACCAUGCAGUCACUGAUGGAGUUAAUGUAAACUCUAUAGCAUGUUUUAUCAGUUAUCCUCUUGUUUAGUCUGGGAGAGAGGAGAAUGGGGGAACAAUGAGACCUCAAAUACCCAAAAGGUUGCUAUAAAAACAGUGAUGGAUAGCUCUCUCUUUGUUAAUGAUUUAAAUAAGAUGUUGAGAUAGUCUUUCUAACUCCAAUAGGUAGCUAAAAAACUCUGGGACAGAUGACCUACAAGGGAGAUGUUACGCUACCACAUGUGUUUGAAGAAUGGCUUAGCCAAGGUCUGCAGGGAUGCUGCAAAGACCUUGCUUCUUUCUUAGAGCAGGGGUUGAAUUUCCUGAACUUCCCCUUGUAAUCACGUUCAACCAUACAUCCCUAUGGUAUUGUGAUCACUCUCAUAAAGUGACAUUUUAAUGAAAAUAAAUAAACGAAGCUGCAAAACCUUGUGACGCA
RNAcentral lists this long non-coding RNA (3853 nucleotides) under Anas platyrhynchos platyrhynchos (common mallard). RNAcentral's name for it is "lncRNA (ENSAPLG00000019270.1)". The record is from RNAcentral. Lineage: Eukaryota; Metazoa; Chordata; Aves; Anseriformes; Anatidae.